Molecule: non-coding RNA, 366 nt
Organism: Talpa occidentalis (Iberian mole)
Lineage: Eukaryota; Metazoa; Chordata; Mammalia; Eulipotyphla; Talpidae
Source: the annotation of a RefSeq genome assembly
AUGGUGCCCUCCAGGCUGCUGUGGGCCCUGGUGGCCUUCACCUGCUCUGGAUCCAGUGAGGCCCAGAAAGUUAUCCAAGACCAACCAGCUAUAUCCAAACAAGAGGGGUCAAGAGUCACCCUGAGGUGUCGGUAUGAAACAAGUUGGAGUAACUACGUCCUUUAUUGGUACAAGCAGCUUCCUGAUGGAAAGAUCACAUACCUUAUUUAUCACCGUUCAUCUUCUGGUAACAGUGCAAAAAAUGGUCGCUAUUCUAUAAACUUCCAGAAAGCAGACAAAUACAAUUACCUCACCAUUUCACCCUUGCUACUGGACGACUCCGCAAUGUAUUUCUGUGCUCUCAGUGAUGCACUGUGUUUGAAGUGA